GACAGGUAUGGUCCCUGCUUUUACGUCAGCUAUAACUAAACUUACACAUGCAAGUAUCCGCACCCCAGUGAGAAUGCCCUCAACACCCAACCGGACUAGAGGAGCAGGCAUCAGGCACACGCUACGUAGCCCAAGACGCCUUGCUACGCCACACCCCCAAGGGUAUUCAGCAGUGAUUAAUAUUAAACAUAAGCGAAAGCUUGAUUUAGUUAAAGUUAAGAGGGUCGGUAAAACUCGUGCCAGCCACCGCGGUUAUACGAGAGACCCAAGUUGACGCCUACGGCGUAAAGCGUGAUUAUAGGCCAGAACAAAACUAAAGCCAAAACCCCUCAAAGCUGUUAUACGCACAUCGAGGGCCGUAAGCCCAAAAACGAAAGUAGCUUUAAUUCAACUACCUAGACCACACGACAGUUGGGAAACAAACUGGGAUUAGAUACCCCACUAUGCCCAACCAUAAACUUUGAUAAUAAGAUACAAAUAUUAUCCGCCAGGGAACUACAAGCGCAUUGCUCGAAACCCAACGGACUUGGCGGUGCCCCACACCCACCUAGAGGAGCCUGUUCUGUAACUGACAAUCCCCGUUUAACCUCACCACCCCUAGCUUAAUCAGUCUAUAUACCACCGUCGUAAGCUCACCCUGUGAAGGCCCAAUAGUAAGCAAGAUGGGCACAACCCAACACGUCAGGUCGAGGUGUAGCACAUGGGGCGGGAAGAAAUGGGCUACAUUUUCUGCCCAACAGAAUACCAACGAAUAACGACAUGAAACUGUCGUUUAAAGGAGGAUUUAGCAGUAAAAAGAAAAUAGAGAGUUCUUUUGAAGCCGGCCCUGGGGCGCGCACACACCGCCCGUCACUCUCCACUAUAACUUUCUUACAAAAGAAUAAAAUACAAGAUUAAAUAAUACUAAUUACCCCAACAGUGGAGACAAGUCGUAACACGGUAAGUGUACCGGAAGGUGCACUUGGAACAAC
This 971-nucleotide non-coding RNA is filed under the name Petrocephalus soudanensis. RNAcentral describes it as "12S rRNA". It matches the Rfam family "Bacterial small subunit ribosomal RNA". The record is from RNAcentral. Lineage: Eukaryota; Metazoa; Chordata; Actinopteri; Osteoglossiformes; Mormyridae.